Long non-coding RNA from Tachysurus fulvidraco (yellow catfish), 1327 nucleotides. RefSeq lists it as uncharacterized. The transcript has 2 exons. The record is from RefSeq and is a predicted model, not a curated record. Lineage: Eukaryota; Metazoa; Chordata; Actinopteri; Siluriformes; Bagridae.
CCAACUUGAACAUUCCUGCUCUCACAGGCUGUUCUGGUAAUAAAGAAUCCCAGCUGACUUCAAAUGAGCUCAUUUUAUAAAUCUGUUUAUUUCCAUGCCAAUGAAUAGAUGAGAGAAAUAUUGCAUUAAAAAUAUUUGUACAGAAAUAUACAGUAAGUUGUAUCUGCUUUAUGUUUUGGACUGACUGUUCAAUGAAUCCUUAUGAUUCCAGCAUUUUUUUCAAUUUGAAUGUAUUUUGCAUUGAAUCUGAUUGAUCUAAUAAUAAAAGUGCAGGCUUAUAUUAAAUCUAACACGUUGUUUCUACAGGGUUGACAAAACAAAACAUACACACACAACAUUUUAGCAAAAUGUUUUCCAAGUUGUUUUUUUUUUUUUUUAGAUAUCUCUUAACAAUGACUUUAACCAAAGAAGGAUAUAAAGCUUCUUAACACACACCAAGUUGGCAACAGUGUCAUGUGUCAUAUGUGAUAUAUGACACAUGACACUGUUCCCAACACUGGAAAUAAUCAUCUUUGAGCUGCUAACAUAAUCGCACCACUCCAUGGUUGAUUAUUUUUCUAUGACGACACCGUGUCAUGUUUUAUUCCGUAUUAACCAGACAUGACGUAGACCAGGCCACUGUGACCAGCAAACGCACAGCAAGACCAGAACAUAGUCAGCAAUCCACAACGGACACCUCUUUACUCAUGAUCUUACCUAUAUGCCAGAACACACCUUCGUUUGGAGUCAGGAGACAUAAAUAUUUAAGCACUUCAUUGUGUUCGUAAUGUCGUGAUGAAACAUUGAAACGUUUCACAGACAUAUGCUGUAAAUAUACAUACAUGAGUAGGGUCAGUGUUUUGGUUUUAAGAUGCCACACACACAGACACACACACAAACACACAUAAACACACACACACACACAUAAUGUCAAGGGUCUGUGAAGAAUAUGACCAACAUGUCCAGUCCUGAAGAGAAUUCAAGAAAUGCAACCAAGUACAAGUCAGAAUGAGACUGUGAACUGAAAAGGAGGAACACAGUGAAGACGGAGUGACUGUUAACAAAAGACACAAAAUACCGUAUAGACUCAUAUAAGAAAAUGAAAGGGUUUGAGAUACAAGUCAUCAUCAGGCUGCCAGAUGGAAAGGGCGAAAAAAAAAAAAGGGAAAAUAAAGCUCUGCUUAGCCUGAAGGAAACGCUACCCCAUCCUGUCAACAUCCUUUACACACACAUUCCUUCAGUCAUAAGCAGACUACUCGGCUUGGAUCACUGUAAUACACUGCACACACAUACUGUACAAGCACCUCAAUAAUACUGAGAGGAGAAAAAUAAAAGCUACUUGAAUUCA